RNAcentral lists this ribosomal RNA (116 nucleotides) under Sodalis sp. CWE. The record is from RNAcentral. Lineage: Bacteria; Pseudomonadati; Pseudomonadota; Gammaproteobacteria; Enterobacterales; Bruguierivoracaceae.
CCUGGUGGCUAAAGCGCGGUGGUCCCACCUGAUACCAUUCCGAACUCAGAAGUGAAAAGUCGUAGCGCCGAUGGUAGUUUGGGGCUUCCCCAUGCGAGAGUAGGAAACCGCCAGGC